CCUCCAAGCAAUGCUCAGACUUAAAUUUGUGUGUGUGCAUGUGUGAAUUUGCAGAUCUCCAGGUGGAGCUUCUGGAGGGAACCACUGCCAUCCGCCCAUCAACUGUUCUACAAGCAAUACACUAAUUCCCAAAGCAAAAACAAAUAAACACAGCACAGUAGAAUGCAAGGAUCGUUCUGCAAGCAACUACAUGCAAACAAACAGUCCCAAAGGUGCCUUUUCAGGAGGCAACUGGACUUUCUUGUCCAGAAAAAACAAGAAAGUCCAGUUGCCCUUUGAAAAAGCACCUUUGAGACGACCAUGACCUGGGUGACUGAGAAUCUCUACAGACUUUUAUGCAAACAAACAGUGCAGGAGAAUGCAAAGUUAUUUUACAGUAUUAAAUCUGCUUUCUGUAGAUGCUGGCUAGUAGUGCUGCAAGCAAUCCCAAAGCAAACACAAACAAACACAGUAAUGAAAAACACCCUAUCUUUGUAAAGUACUUACAAACAAGCAUGGCAGUUUAUAAAGAACUGGCAAACAAACAGCACUAUAAUGAAAAAGAAGAAUCUAUGGUACUUGCAAAGGCAACUAACAGUACUCCAGUCCUCAAGGCAACAACAAUAAAAGAAGCCACAAGGCAGGAGUGCGAGAUUCAGUCCUCUAAUCCUCCACCUGGGAGCAAUGAGGAGGAAAAAAAAGUGAGGCCUGCUGGAACUUGACUGUCAUAUGACCAGGGAAAAACAUGCACCAUAUGGACCUCAGAAAUUGCCUGUUGGAACUGUGAGCAACAAAGAACAGUCACGGGACAAAAAACGGCCGCUGCUUCAGGAGUGAUUGAAUCCAGGUCCCAUGACUGCAGGGGCCUCCUGUGGUCGCAAUUUUGAACCCUUGUUUUGUUUAGAAUUUGCACCAUGGAUACCAAAGAAUGAUGAUAUUAGAAGUGGCUCCAGAACUUCGGAGACUUCCAAUAAAGAAAUGGCAAACUGACAUCCUAUGGUCAGCAAGCAACAGCUGGAUCCUGGAUUUGGACCACCAAAAUCUCUUAGAAGAAAAGAGAGCUCUUGUGAUCAGCCAUAUACAUCUGGACAGCUGGGGGUUGUGUGUGAAUAGAGGCAGAAAUGUAUGUUUUUUUACAGUUCCUUGCAAACAGUUGGGAAUUGUGGGAUUCCAUGAAGCUCAUAGCCAUCAAUGAAGCCUUCACAGACUCAAGUUUCAACCUCUUCUGAAUCACUUUGGAUUUUACUUUUUGUUCUGCUCCUUUUUAAAGAUAGAGGACCUUCAAAUUUGAUCAUAUUCACUUUUGUCACACAGCCAGAUGUUUAGGCUGGACUUGGCAUUUUUAUCUAUGCCUAUACCUAUGGAGCUCUUCCUGAGGACUUGGGAUUGGCAGGAAAUCAUACACUGGAACUAAGGUUGACAUUUCCCAAAUAAUAAAGACAAAAGAAGCUGGACUCUUACCAAGGAAUACCAGAAUGGUGCCCAUCCACUGUAAAUUACUGAUAGGAUUGGCAAAUAGAAUGA
This is a non-coding RNA of Pantherophis guttatus, 1503 nucleotides long. NCBI's taxonomy places the organism in Eukaryota, Metazoa, Chordata, Lepidosauria, Squamata, Colubridae. The record is from RefSeq and is a predicted model, not a curated record.